UAAUACGAGAGGCCCAAACGUUAUUCGGAAUUACUGGGCUUAAAGAGUCCGUAGGCGGCGCGGAAAGUGGGGUGUGAAAGCCCUCGGCUCAACCGAGGAAUUGCGCUCCAAACUACCGUGCUUGAGGAACCUAGAGGUGAGCAGAACUGAUGGUGGAGCGGUGAAAUGCGUUGAUAUCAUCAGGAAUACCGGAGGCGAAGGCGGCUCACUGGGGGUUUUCUGACGCUGAGGGACGAAAGCCAGGGUAGCGAACGGGAUUAGAUACCCCGGUAGUCCUGGCCGUAAACGAUGAGCACUAGGCCGGAGGGCUGCACAGCUUUCCGGCCGUAGCUAAAGUGUUAAGUGCUCCGCCUGGGGAGUAUGGUCGCAAGGCUG
Molecule: ribosomal RNA, 375 nt
Filed under: uncultured bacterium
Lineage: Bacteria
Description: bacterial SSU rRNA
Rfam family: Bacterial small subunit ribosomal RNA
Source: RNAcentral